GACGAACGCUGGCGGCGUGCUUAACACAUGCAAGUGGAGCGACGAACCAGGUUUCGGCCUGGGGCAGAGCCGCGAACGGGUGAGUAACACGUGGGUAACCUGCCCUGACGAUCGGGACAACCCGGGGAACCCGGGCUAAUACCGAAUGUGCCCGCGAGCCAGAAGGCUUGCGAGGAAAGGAAGCUUCGGCCUCCGCAUCGGGAUGGGCCCGCGGCCCAUUAGCUUGUUGGUGGGGUAACGGCCUACCAAGGCAGCAAUGGGGUAGCU
This 267-nucleotide ribosomal RNA is filed under the name uncultured bacterium. RNAcentral describes it as "partial 16S ribosomal RNA". It matches the Rfam family "Bacterial small subunit ribosomal RNA", at positions 28 to 288 of the family's 1533-position model. The record is from RNAcentral.